GAUGAACGCUAGCGGCAGGCUUAAUACAUGCAAGGCGAGGGGGCAGCAAUGUCACCGUCGUACGGGUGCGUAACGCGUGUGCAACCUACCUAUCACUGGGGGAUAGCCCGGGGAAACCCGGAUUAAUACCGCAUAACACAGGGGUCCCGCAUGGGUACUAUUUGUUAAAGAUUUAUCGGUGGUAGAUGGGCAUGCGUUCG
RNAcentral lists this ribosomal RNA (200 nucleotides) under uncultured bacterium. RNAcentral describes it as "partial 16S ribosomal RNA". It matches the Rfam family "Bacterial small subunit ribosomal RNA", at positions 28 to 239 of the family's 1533-position model. The record is from RNAcentral.